Molecule: ribosomal RNA, 54 nt
Filed under: Drepanopeziza ribis
Lineage: Eukaryota; Fungi; Ascomycota; Leotiomycetes; Helotiales; Drepanopezizaceae
Description: partial 18S ribosomal RNA
Source: RNAcentral
AACAAGGUUUCCGUAGGUGAACCUGCGGAAGGAUCAUUACUCAGCGAUCCCCCG